Molecule: non-coding RNA, 124 nt
Organism: Podarcis lilfordi (Lilford's wall lizard)
Lineage: Eukaryota; Metazoa; Chordata; Lepidosauria; Squamata; Lacertidae
Source: the annotation of a GenBank genome assembly
GGCUUCCUCAACCUCGGCCCUCCAGAUGUUUUGAGACUACAAUUCCUAUCAUCCCUGACCACUGGUCCUGCUAUCUAGGGAGUUGUAGGCCAAAAACAUCUGGAGGGCUGAGGUUGAGGAAGCC